RNAcentral lists this non-coding RNA (30 nucleotides) under Rattus norvegicus (Norway rat). The record is from RNAcentral. Lineage: Eukaryota; Metazoa; Chordata; Mammalia; Rodentia; Muridae.
UGGGUGCUCUGAAGUGAUGUAGCCUUAGGA